UGAGCGGACGCGUGUUGUCGUCGUUCCUGUUCUGGGUGCUUCGGCGUGGCGUUGGUGGCUCGGACUGUUCUGACUGUGUGUUUGUGCCUUGCUAGUGAUGUCUGGACAUGUUUCUCUGUUUGUACGCCUUGGAAGAUACGACCAGAAGCCGUUGGAUUUCGUGAAUGGAAGACGCUUUUGACAGAUUUGUUUCUGUGCACAAGACAAAUGGGCUGUCGCACUCCCGACGUAGGAAAUGAACACACACGUCGCUGAGAUCUUAAAAGACAAAGUAGGGUGUGCACUUCACCCAUGCAACUCCAAUGUCUGCUUCAUGGCAGUGCAAGCUUUUACAACCGUGCCCUUGAAUGUAACAAGCCAAAUAAACUGGAUAACAGAGAAAAGUUUCCUGGUUCUUUUGCCACUAUGUUCGCGUAAAGCUACCCAGCUUAUCAUACCUACAUUUUUCUAAGAUCUGUACUGCUUUCACAAUGUAUCCUCCCCUUUGGUGCUUUGUGUGUAGGUGGAUUUUGGUUCCCCACUAUGUGUCAACCCUGUAUAA
Molecule: long non-coding RNA, 541 nt
Organism: Ornithodoros turicata
Lineage: Eukaryota; Metazoa; Arthropoda; Arachnida; Ixodida; Argasidae
Exons: 3
Source: RefSeq, a predicted model, not a curated record